This 274-nucleotide ribosomal RNA is filed under the name uncultured bacterium. Its description in RNAcentral is "partial 16S ribosomal RNA". It matches the Rfam family "Bacterial small subunit ribosomal RNA", at positions 523 to 796 of the family's 1533-position model. The record is from RNAcentral.
AUACGGAGGGUGCAAGCGUUACUCGGAAUCACUGGGCGUAAAGGACGCGUAGGCGGCGUCAUAAGUCAGGUGUGAAAGCCCACGGCUCAACCGUGGAACUGCACUUGAAACUGUGAUGCUAGAGUCUGGGAGAGGCAGAUGGAAUUGGUGGUGUAGGGGUAAAAUCCGUAGAGAUCACCAGGAAUACCGAUGGCGAAGGCGAUCUGCUGGAACAGUACUGACGCUGAGGCGUGAAAGCGUGGGGAGCAAACAGGAUUAGAUACCCUAGUAGUCC